This 467-nucleotide ribosomal RNA is filed under the name uncultured bacterium. RNAcentral's name for it is "partial 16S ribosomal RNA". It matches the Rfam family "Bacterial small subunit ribosomal RNA", at positions 28 to 507 of the family's 1533-position model. The record is from RNAcentral.
GAUGAACGCUGGCGGCGUGCUUAACACAUGCAAGUCGAACGGAAAGGCCCAAGCUUGCUUGGGUACUCGAGUGGCGAACGGGUGAGUAACACGUGGGUGAUCUGCCCUGCACUUCGGGAUAAGCCUGGGAAACUGGGUCUAAUACCGGAUAGGACCACUUCUUGGAUGUUGUGGUGGAAAGUUUUUUCGGUGUGGGAUGAGCUCGCGGCCUAUCAGCUUGUUGGUGGGGUAAUGGCCUACCAAGGCGUCGACGGGUAGCCGGCCUGAGAGGGUGUACGGCCACAUUGGGACUGAGAUACGGCCCAGACUCCUACGGGAGGCAGCAGUGGGGAAGAUUGCACAAGGGGCGCAAGCCUGAUGCAGCGACGCCGCGUGGGGGAUGACGGCCUUCGGGUUGUAAAAUCCUUUCGCUAGGGACGAAGCGUUUUGUGACGGUACCUGGAGAAGAAGCACCGGCUAACUACGUG